RNAcentral lists this non-coding RNA (75 nucleotides) under unclassified sequences. RNAcentral describes it as "RT-18 RNA". It matches the Rfam family "RT-18 RNA". From Rfam's summary of the family: Clostridiales (Firmicutes). Nearby to self-splicing intron genes The record is from Rfam by way of RNAcentral.
CACCACUUGGUGAAGAUUUUGCCGUCGGGAACGGUUUAGUAGGUAUUUCUCGAAAGACCGUCAGGCGAAAAGGAG